CCACCCCUACGGGGCGCAGCAGUGGGGAAUAUUGGGCAAUGGGCGCAAGCCUGACCCAGCAAUGCCGCGUGAAGGAAGAAGGCUUUCGGGUUGUAAACUUCUUUGACAGGGGAAGAGCAGAAGACGGUACCCUGAAAACAAGCCACGGCUAACUACGUGCCAGCAGCCGCGGUAAUACGUAGGGGGCGAGCGUUAUCCGGAUUUACUGGGUGUAAAGGGAGCGUAGACGGUUCUGCAAGUCUGAAGUGAAAGCCCGUGGCUUAACCGCGGAACGGCUUUGGAAACUGUGGAACUGGAGUGCUGGA
RNAcentral lists this ribosomal RNA (305 nucleotides) under uncultured bacterium. Its description in RNAcentral is "bacterial SSU rRNA". It matches the Rfam family "Bacterial small subunit ribosomal RNA", at positions 333 to 653 of the family's 1533-position model. The record is from RNAcentral.